UCCCUUAUGGAUUUGGUUUUCGAUUAAA
Molecule: small nuclear RNA, 28 nt
Filed under: Arabidopsis thaliana (thale cress)
Lineage: Eukaryota; Viridiplantae; Streptophyta; Magnoliopsida; Brassicales; Brassicaceae
Description: snRNA_15780
Source: RNAcentral